GUAGGUGGCAAGCGUUGUCCGGAAUUAUUGGGCGUAAAGCGCGCGCAGGCGGUUCUUUAAGUCUGAUGUGAAAGCCCCCGGCUCAACCGUGGAGGGUCAUUGGAAACUGGAGAACUUGAGUACAGAAGAGGAAAGCGGAAUUCCACGUGUAGCGGUGAAAUGCGUAGAGAUGUGGAGGAACACCAGUGGCGAAGGCGGCUUUCUGGUCUGUAACUGACGCUGAGGCGCGAAAGCGUGGGGAGCAAACAGGGAUUAGAUACCCUGGUAGUCCACGCCGUAAACGAUGAGUGCUAAGUGUUAGGGGGUUUCCCGCCCCUUAGUGCUGCAGCUAACGCAUUAAGCACUCCGCCUGGGGAGUACGGCCGCAAGGCUG
RNAcentral lists this ribosomal RNA (373 nucleotides) under uncultured organism. RNAcentral describes it as "partial 16S ribosomal RNA". It matches the Rfam family "Bacterial small subunit ribosomal RNA", at positions 527 to 896 of the family's 1533-position model. The record is from RNAcentral.